This 231-nucleotide ribosomal RNA is filed under the name uncultured bacterium. RNAcentral's name for it is "partial 16S ribosomal RNA". It matches the Rfam family "Bacterial small subunit ribosomal RNA", at positions 91 to 339 of the family's 1533-position model. The record is from RNAcentral.
GGGAGCGGCGAACGGGUGAGUAACACGUUGGAACCUACCUCAGACUCAGGGAUAGCCCGCCGAAAGGCGGAUUAAUACCGGAUAGUCUCGUAAGAGUAAAGCUUUUGCGGUCUGAGAGGGGCCUGCGGUCUAUCAGCUUGUUGGUAGUGUAAUAGACUACCAAGGCUAUGACGGAUAUCUGGUGUGAGAGCAUGACCAGACACAAUGGAACUGAGACACGGUCCAUACUAC